UACGUAGGGUGCGAGCGUUGUCCGGAAUUAUUGGGCGUAAAGAGCUUGUAGGCGGUCUGUUGCGUCUGCUGUGAAAAUCCGGGGCUCAACCCCGGACUUGCAGUGGGUACGGGCAGACUAGAGUGUGGUAGGGGAGACUGGAAUUCCUGGUGUAGCGGUGGAAUGCGCAGAUAUCAGGAGGAACACCGAUGGCGAAGGCAGUUCUCUGGGCCGUAACUGACGCUGAGGAGCGAAAGCGUGGGGAGCGAACAGG
Molecule: ribosomal RNA, 253 nt
Filed under: uncultured bacterium
Lineage: Bacteria
Description: partial 16S ribosomal RNA
Rfam family: Bacterial small subunit ribosomal RNA
Source: RNAcentral